UGGGUGGCGGCCGCCAAGCACGGGUGAGUCCCGUCGUAGCGCCCUAUGGCCACCAUGCGGGGGCUGAUUUUGUGGCGCAGUUUCAGGGUGAACACAGGCAGCAGCAUGAUGGCGCCAGCUAGGGGCGGAAGACAGACUCCCCACGCAGGCGCAAGGUUGGCAGCUUGGCAGGCCGGUUGCCUAGCAGCGGAUAAAGUGUGCGAGGUAAAUACACCCGGAACUCCGGAACGCCUCAGGCCUGGCGCCGCAAGCGCG
This 255-nucleotide long non-coding RNA is filed under the name Rattus norvegicus (Norway rat). RNAcentral's name for it is "long non-coding RNA NONRATT014470". The record is from RNAcentral. Lineage: Eukaryota; Metazoa; Chordata; Mammalia; Rodentia; Muridae.